UACGAAGGGGGCUAGCGUUGUUCGGAAUUACUGGGCGUAAAGCGCGCGCAGGCGGCCUUUCAAGUCAGUGGUGAAAGCCCGGAGCUCAACUCCGGAACUGCCAUUGAAACUGUUUGGCUUGAGUACGAGAGAGGUGAGUGGAAUUCCUGGUGUAGCGGUGGAAUGCGCAGAUAUCAGGAGGAACACCAAUAGCGAAGGCAGCUCGCUGGGACGGUACUGACGCUAAGGCGCGAAAGCGUGGGGAGCGAACAGG
RNAcentral lists this ribosomal RNA (253 nucleotides) under uncultured bacterium. RNAcentral describes it as "partial 16S ribosomal RNA". It matches the Rfam family "Bacterial small subunit ribosomal RNA", at positions 524 to 776 of the family's 1533-position model. The record is from RNAcentral.